ACAGAGACGUCGCCCCGGGGAGGCAACUCCCCUGGGGCACAACUCUCCACCCCUUGAUUUGUUAUACCUAGUUGCUUUGGUGGGUCGCGGUCAUUCGUGGCCCCGCCGGCUCUGGCUGGCGAGCACCCGCCGAAGGUCAAACCCAAACUCUUGAAGUAAAUCUUGAAGUCUGAAAUUAAAUAAAAAAUAGCCUA
RNAcentral lists this unclassified non-coding RNA (194 nucleotides) under uncultured Ascomycota. RNAcentral's name for it is "sequence contains ITS1". Lineage: Eukaryota; Fungi; Ascomycota. The record is from RNAcentral.